GUGUUGGUCGUCCAAUGGUCAGGACGCGCGGUUGUGGACCGCGAAACGGCGGGUUCAACUCCCCCCCUUCACCCCA
This 76-nucleotide transfer RNA is filed under the name Deinococcus soli (ex Cha et al. 2016). RNAcentral describes it as "tRNA-His". It matches the Rfam family "tRNA". Rfam says of the family: Transfer RNA (tRNA) molecules are approximately 80 nucleotides in length. Lineage: Bacteria; Thermotogati; Deinococcota; Deinococci; Deinococcales; Deinococcaceae. The record is from RNAcentral.